CGCUUGUUUGUUCGCCCUAGCUGCUAGUUACCAUACGUCUUCGGCUGUCAUGAAACUUAUUUUUGCCAUCUUUAAACUGUUGUUGAGCGGCAAAUUUGAAGAAAUUGCUUUCCAAAGAAGCAAAGAUUGAAAGACCGAACGAAAUAAUUACUUUAUUGAAAGAGAUACGACGAAAGUUUUGAAUUGUCUGGGCCUGGGGAAUUUCAGCAGAACCAGACGAAGACUAAAGUCAGGAAUAUUUUAACAGCAAGACUCGCGAUGGACUGGCUUCUAAACAACUAUUACAAG
Molecule: non-coding RNA, 288 nt
Organism: Paramuricea clavata
Lineage: Eukaryota; Metazoa; Cnidaria; Anthozoa; Malacalcyonacea; Plexauridae
Source: the annotation of a GenBank genome assembly